UUAGGUAACUUCUUCACAGGCUUCCCUUCCCGCCAAAAGCACCUUUAUAUCUUCCGGGGUCUCAGACCUCAGCCAGCUUGCUUGGGACUGGAAGCCUGCCUCCUGUAUCCCUGGCCUCAGCUAAAAAGCUGCAUCAGGGAAUGAGCUGGAACCUAAGGGGCCCUACUGCACCAAGUAUCAACUUGCCCUGGGCUGCUAUGUGGAAAACGCCUCACCUACAACAUGGGAGACUGUGGAGUGGGAAGAGACCAACCCAAUCAGGAUACAAAAUGGAAUGUACACUAUGAUUACAACUCUGCAAAAAUAUAUCUGCCAACGGAUUAAUAUUGGAUAUAAACAAGCAAAAAUGAAAGUAUAACUGCAUGUCUGGCAUAGGUAUGAACUUUUCCCUUUCUUUUACAAAUGAGAAAAUGGAGUCUUACAGAAGUAAAGCAAUUUGCGAAGGUCAUACAGCCA
Molecule: non-coding RNA, 456 nt
Organism: Marmota flaviventris (yellow-bellied marmot)
Lineage: Eukaryota; Metazoa; Chordata; Mammalia; Rodentia; Sciuridae
Source: RefSeq, a predicted model, not a curated record